This 66-nucleotide transfer RNA is filed under the name Panulirus versicolor (painted spiny lobster). Its description in RNAcentral is "tRNA-Gly". Lineage: Eukaryota; Metazoa; Arthropoda; Malacostraca; Decapoda; Palinuridae. The record is from RNAcentral.
GGACUUCAAGUAUAUCAAGUUCCUCUCCCCUCCAAGUGGAAAGUCUAAAUAAGUUUAGGGAAGUUA